This is a long non-coding RNA of Passer domesticus (house sparrow), 2030 nucleotides long. RefSeq lists it as uncharacterized. The transcript has 2 exons. Lineage: Eukaryota; Metazoa; Chordata; Aves; Passeriformes; Passeridae. The record is from RefSeq and is a predicted model, not a curated record.
UCAGCAAUUCCAUACAGCCUGCUGCAUUUAUUGGUAUUAAAUAACGCCUCCAGGCUCUCCUUUACAGGCAGGGAGCCCGAGCCCUGCUGUAAGGACCUGCUUCAGGCCUCCAUCACUCCUCUCCCCUCCCCCAGGCAGCCAGGAAAGACAUUUAGUUGUCCACGAUGUGAGUUGCAGAAACCAGCCAAUGGUGUCUGAUAAAGACUCUCGUGCCAUUGCUGCCACAAGCAAGGAUGCAGCAACUGGGCAAUGUAUCAGGGAUCAUUAAUAGAAUAAAAAUGGGUUUGCCCUGGAGGAGAAUAAUUUGUUGGGCAUCUGCCCUGAGAGUGCUAAGAGCUAUUGGUCCCUUGGUAUGCCUGGUUAUUAUUAUCCCAGCUGCACUUUUCCCAGCGUGAAUUGCUGCUGGUGGCAGGAAGGAACAGCCUUGGAGUGAGAUGGUUCUUAUCCUGCCCCUUCCCACUCAGCUGUGACUGCACAAACCCUCCAGUGCCCACAGGAGCCUCCAGCCCUAUUUGCCCACAGCAGCUGUGCAGAGCUCCUCUUCAAGUUCCAAUUGAGAAGCCCCAGACCCAGCCAAUGGCAAAUUCCUGCUGGGUGGGGUCUGUGUUAGUGCUGAGGAACUGAUGGUCAGACUGAGCCAAGUUCAGCUGGUCCCUCUCUUUGCUGCUCAUCUCCUCCUAGUGUGCCCACCCAGAUUUAUUUCCCUGCUGCCUCCCUGGGCUGAAUAUGUUGGGUGAGUUUUUGCAGAGGAUUGUGAUGGAGAAAGAUACCUCCCCCCUGCAAAACUGUCCUCCCCUUGCUCCUGAGACUCCCUGUCUGCACCCAGGCUCAGAGCAAGCCUGUGGCUUAGGCUCCCCUGGCAGGAUCCAGCUCCUCUUGGGUGACAGUCCAGCCCUCACAUGACUGCUGUUUCUGCGAGGAUCUGGCUGCCUUCAGCCUGCCCCUGCCUCCAUCCCCUGCUCCUAGCAGGGCUGCAGGAUUUCGUGCGAGAGGAAGGAAGCGGCAGCAGGGGCUGCAAUGCCGGUGACACCAGAUAAAACCUAGCUCUGUGCCAUCUCCGUGCCUUGUAAAUAGCAUCAGCUCCGGGGAUUUCUUGACACUUUGCUGAAAUUAGCACCUGUAAAAAGAGCAGCUGCCAAAGCUGAAUUUAAAUAAGACGGGGAGAAUGCCGGUAGGAAGAGGGUGGAGAAUGAGAGAGCUCUUGAAUGGCUUCCCUCCAUGAAGGCACCUGCCUGGAAAUCAGCUCUCAUCUCCUCUGGCCCUGCUCAAAGCUCACAUUACAGCAGCAAGAUGCCCACAGCUGCCUCAAAGUGCUGGGCACUGUGCCUGCCCUGCCCGACACAGGCUGGGCCCCCAGUGCAGGUGCCCACUCCACUUGGUCUCCCAGCAAAGCCACCCCCAGUUCCCAAAAUGCCACUAAACACUCACUAAAACAAGCUGGAGAAGUACAGAACGUGGAUGCCCCUGGCCAACCAGCCCUGGCCUCCUCUUAAGCUUGAUUAGGUACCCCAAGUCCUGUGCAGCGUUAGGGAACGUUGCAAGCAGGCAGCAGCAACUAUGGAUUGCUUUUUUCCUUUUUAAUUGGGGUUAGCAGGUGGCACAUGCAGUUCAUUACAAAUGCAGAGGAAUGAAACAACUCUCGUGGCAGCUAAAAUGGGAAAUAUGGGGUUUGGGGAGGGGAGAUGCAAGCAGGUAAGGAAGGACUCUAAAGAGCUGUGACAGAUGAGGCUCAAAACCCCUCUGUUUGCACCUGGCAAUGAGGCACUAACAGAUAAGAGAGCUGGGGGCAGUGCUGGGGGGUGGAGGUGUAAUUCUGGCCCUCAGGGCUGGCACUGAGGGUGUUUCCCGUGUGGACAUGCCCAUUGCAUGAAUGGCUGUGAAGGCUGCAGAGACUGAGCACAGAGAGGACCAGACACCUUCCUUGUGGAGGAUGCACCAAAAAAAGGGGGAAAAAAAGGAGGGGGAAAAAAUCAAAUUAAAUGCUUCUCUUUAUUGUUCACUCAGCUCCUUAUUAAAGCAUUUUCCCCUAA